UGUCCCUACUAACUUGAUGGCGAUGACUCU
RNAcentral lists this non-coding RNA (30 nucleotides) under Mus musculus (house mouse). Lineage: Eukaryota; Metazoa; Chordata; Mammalia; Rodentia; Muridae. The record is from RNAcentral.